CGUGGGCAGGAGGGGAAGCCUGGUCCUGGCACCACGGUGUGCCUGCUUCACAAGAGUUUCUUACACAUGACUGAAAUGACCACCACGUAUGUAAACCCAAGGAGUCUCACGAAGGCGGCAAGAGCCAGGGAACUAGGGAGAAACUCUGAGCAGGGGGAGAAGUGACAGCCCUCUCCCCAAAGCCCAUCAGCAGGGGGACCAUGUAAGGGAGGGAAUGGGAAGGCAGCUGAGGGCGGCUGUGCCACAGUUACUGAUAACUGGCUUUUGGAAGAAUGGUGUGUGGACUCUGCCGAUUUCCAGCUCACCUCUUCUCUUGGCUUUGCUAAGCUGUUACUGAAAUUAAAGUGCAGAGUCUAGGAACAGAGUGUUCCAGCCGGGUGGAGUAGAAUCUGCUCAUGCUCAGAGAAAUGUUCCACGCAGGCCAAGCACAAUAUCACCGUAAUCCUGACCAUCCACAUUGACUACUGUGGAAAGAUGGCCAGAGCGGCUGCUGACCGUCAGAAAGAAGGUUCCAGAACCAGCUUGAGAAGCCCGGCAUUAUUUUACAAACAACUAAAGACAACUUUCAAAAGGCAUGAAUCAGACCAUGCAUGAUACCUCGAUGUGGUCACUGAAAUCUCAUCUCUAGCUUCUCGGGAUGUUGACCCACUUGAAGUCUCUCCGCUACAGUGGUUAAGAUGUGAGUUUUGCUUUGAUGUUUGCCUUUUCAUCUCUUGGAGAUGCGUCUUGGGUUUCUGUGCUCUCGUAGCCGACUUCUCCUGGAUUCUCCUGGCCUGCAUCUCUCCUGGCAGGUCGUCACAUGCUUUCCUGGGGCUUCUGAACCCUCUGCUUUGGGAUCUGCUCUCCUGCUUUUCACAGGGAGUUGAGGUCUGUAUUAUUUCAAAAAGGAGUGGUUUUCACAUUGGAAAAAGAAUGACUGGAAACUACUUUCACACCACGAGCCUGGAGCUGCUCUAAGUGAGCUACUUCACUUUGUCCUUACAGUGACACCACAAGCUAAGGAGGCCGUGGGAUGGACCUUCCCAACUCCAACAAUGACAGAUUGUUCAUCUCUUGCAUCCAGAAAAUAAAAAUCUAAAACUGUUUUAACUUUUUACAACACAGAUUCGGGGGGCUGGGGAUGUGGCUCAAGCAGUAGCAUGCUCGCCUGGCAUGUGUGCGGCCUGGGUUCGAUCCUCAGCACCACAUACAAACAAAGAUGUUGUGUCUGCCG
This 1213-nucleotide long non-coding RNA is filed under the name Marmota monax (woodchuck). The record is from RNAcentral. Lineage: Eukaryota; Metazoa; Chordata; Mammalia; Rodentia; Sciuridae.